AGAGUUUGAUCCUGGCUCAGGAUGAACGCUGGCGGUCUGCUUAACACAUGCAAGUCGAACGCACCUUUCGGGGUGAGUGGCGGACGGGUGAGUAACGCGUGAGAAUUUACCAAAAGGACCGGGACAACCACUGGAAACGGUGGCUAAUACCGGAUGAGCCGAAAAGUAAAAAGGGAAACCUGCCUUUUGAAGAGCUCGCGUCUGAUUAGCUAGUUGGUGAGGUAAGAGCUCACCAAGGCAGCGAUCAGUAGCUGGUCUGAGAGGAUGACCAGCCACACUGGGACUGAGACACGGCCCAGACUCCUACGGGAGGCAGCAGUGGGGAAUUUUCCGCAAUGGGCGAAAGCCUGACGGAGCAAGACCGCGUGAGGGAGGAAGGCUCUUGGGUUGUAAACCUCUUUUGUCAGGGAAGAAGAAAGUGACGGUACCUGACGAAUCAGCAUCGGCUAACUCCGUGCCAGCAGCCGCGGUAAUACGGAGGAUGCAAGCGUUAUCCGGAAUUAUUGGGCGUAAAGCGUCCGCAGGUGGCACUUCAAGUCUGUCGUCAAAGACCGGGGCUUAACCCUGGAAAGGCGAUGGAAACUGAAAGGCUAGAGAGAGGUAGGGGUAGAGGGAAUUCCCAGUGUAGCGGUGAAAUGCGUAGAGAUUGGGAAGAACACCCGUGGCGAAAGCGCUCUACUGGACCUCAUCUGACACUCAGGGACGAAAGCUAGGGGAGCGAAUGGGAUUAGAUACCCUAGUAGUCC
RNAcentral lists this ribosomal RNA (746 nucleotides) under uncultured bacterium. RNAcentral describes it as "bacterial SSU rRNA". It matches the Rfam family "Bacterial small subunit ribosomal RNA", at positions 8 to 796 of the family's 1533-position model. The record is from RNAcentral.